GUCGUAGCGUAAGCGAUUGGCUAGGCACCCUGAUCAUUGUGAACAUCUGCCGCUAACUGUACGAACAUAGUAUUUGUAUGCCUUUUGUAAUUCAAUUAUUUCGUAGUUUCUCAAAUAUAAUACACAUACAUACAUGUACAUACGAGUAUAAUCAAGACAUUCUCUUCCUUCACUUUCAUAAUCUUCCUCAUACAAGAUACAAGAUGCAAGAUACAAGAUACAAGAUGCAAGAUACAAGAUACAAGAUGCAAGAUACAAGAUGCAAGAUACAAGAUACAAGAUGCAAGAUACAAGAUACAAGAUACAAGAUGCAAGAUGCAAGAUACAAGAUACAAGAUGCAAGAUACAAGAUACGCUUGCCGGUUUAGGGUGCUCUUGAUCUGGCCUUUCUUUUUACCCCGAUUUGAUCAGAGAAAGUCCGCCGAUGUCUACCGCUUCCAGCUCCCUCUUCUACUUCUCCCUUGUACUCCCUUAGCCUUCUUUCACUCAUUAUUUCUUUCACUCGUUAUUGACGACCGGCUUGGCCUAGUGGGUAGUGACCCUGCCUACGAAGCUGAUGGUCCCGGGUUCAAAUCCUGGUAAGGGCAUUUAUUCGUGUGAUGAGCAUGGAUAUUUGUUCCUGAGUCAUGGGUGUUUUCUAUGUAUUUAAGUAUUUAUAAAUAUUUAUAUAUUAUAUAUAUCGUUGUCUAAGUACCCUCAACACAGGCCUUAUUGAGCUUACUGUGGGACUUAGUCAAUUUGUGUAAUAAUGUCCUAUAAUAUUUAUUAUUUUAUUAUUAUUAUUAUUUCCACGUGUCCAAAUCGUUGAGUUGGUUUACUUACCUAUAUCCAUUUUUGUCACUACAUCUUCAUUCAAUCCACACUUUUUCCUUAUCAAAUAUAAUAUUUAUCUUUAUUGUUAUUGUUGGGAAUGUUAUAGGUUUUAUCGGCGCAGUAUUGUUUCUCGGUUUUCAUUUCAUUGUUAGCUUUUACAGACAGCAGUCACUUGUUUAUUUUAUUUUAGUUUAAGUUUUAAAAAAGCGUGUUAAAAAAGGCCCUGGCGGCACUUAGUCGCUGGGGCCUUUGCAUGCCAGAGGAUUCUUUCAGGUACUACAGCACCUUUUCAAAUCUAAAUGCUGACAUGUAACGAAUACGUCUACCGUUCCAAAAAUAACUUCAAAGAAAAAUAAGAGCUCUGAGAAGCCUCCUUGGGCACCGUGUGCUGAACCCUGAGCCUUACUCGUACCCGCGGCGGCGAGCGGAUGGCGACCGACGGCCGAAACACAGAAAUACAGACAACACUCAUAUCUGCCCGAUGCCAGGCAUGGCGCAAGGAGAAGCCACUCUAGUCCAAGAGAGCGCGUACCCGUGGGUCGUGCGGGUGCCACGCGUGCGGCACAGCUCUACUGCACCGGCGGCCACGGUCUGCGCGGCGGUCGGGAUCCGGCCGGGUGUUUACAACAGCUGCUUGAUGUAUUGCCACAUACGUCAAAUAAUAUCCUUAAGAAGAAUUCCCUGUAGACCAAAACCCUGUAUAGGUUAGACAACAUGUACGCGAGGAAUUCGCUUUGCAACAAAAUACUCCCAAUGGUGGACAAUUCGGAGUAUUACUAGGCCGCCUGCGUCCACUCCUGCGACCCGCUGCAACACUCCAGCAACAACGCCACAUGCCACCGCUACCUGUUCGGGCUGGGGCACGUGGUGCUCGACAACGAUGAGCUAGUCGGCAUAGUUACGUGGCCGUGCGGGAAUAAUGCUUGGGUCUGGGCUGGACGAGAAAAGUAGGUCGCUGCGUGUGAGAGCGGACCCCGACACUCGCUCUGCUGUAUUCUGGCCUGUGCAGAGAAAAUGUCUGCAUUUGUCUAGAUACAAAAGGACGACCGGUAGCGUGGAUAUCUAGCUAAAGCAGGCAAUCGAGAGUACGAGUACGAGCUGAAUAACACCGACAUACAUAUUUUAUAUACAUGUAAUACAUUCAUACCAGAUAGACCAAUUUUAUACUUUUACUUAGUCUUGGUGGUUUUUAAUAAUGGAAUCUGUCGAUCAUUCUGACAGUGGUACCUAACGCACGAAAUGUCCUUUGCUAAUCGGUAUUCAGCCGUGACGUCAUGCUUGGGGAAUAGCCGUCGCGUAUUAUGGAGAAGCAAGAAAAUUGCUAUUUUUACCGUGAAAUAUUGCGUUCAGAUAUACAGUUGCCAUACAAACUAUUAUUCAAUAAAAUGUAAGUAAUCGAAUUGUACCAUUUCGUUCAUCUCGAAAUGCAAAUUAAUAAAAUAUUUUAAAAUGUU
Long non-coding RNA from Cydia pomonella (codling moth), 2267 nucleotides. RefSeq lists it as uncharacterized. The transcript is spliced from 4 exons. The record is from RefSeq and is a predicted model, not a curated record. NCBI's taxonomy places the organism in Eukaryota, Metazoa, Arthropoda, Insecta, Lepidoptera, Tortricidae.